AACGCACCUUGCGCUCCUUGGUAUUCCGAGGAGCAUGCCUGUUUGAGUGUCAUUAAAUUCUCAACCUUAUCAGCUUUUGUUGAUAUUGGCUUGGAUGUGGGGGUUUAUUUUGCUGGCUUCUCAAAGAGGUCAGCUCCCCUUAAAUGUAUUAGCUGGAUGCCUUGUGCAGACUGUCUAUUGGUGUGAUAAUUAUCUACGCCGUUGACCUUCUGCUAAUAUAUAGCACUGCUUCAAAUCGUCUGUUAAAUUAGACAAUCUAUGACAAUUUGACCUCAAAUCAGGUAGGACUACCCGCUGAACUUAA
Molecule: unclassified non-coding RNA, 304 nt
Filed under: uncultured fungus
Lineage: Eukaryota; Fungi
Description: sequence contains ITS2
Rfam family: 5.8S ribosomal RNA (bases 1-52)
Source: RNAcentral